This is an RNA transcript of Rattus norvegicus (Norway rat), 3025 nucleotides long. It is a transcript of the gene named Rac family small GTPase 2, with no coding region annotated. The record is from RefSeq and is marked provisional. Lineage: Eukaryota; Metazoa; Chordata; Mammalia; Rodentia; Muridae.
CUUCCGUUUCCUCCUGCCUCCUGAGCUGGGGUGCUGCUCCUCACUGCCAGGCACCUCCUAGCCUCUCCGUACCACUGGUGUCCACAGCAGCGCUCCUGGCCCCCAACUGUCAUCACUGCCUGCUAGGCCUCAGAUGAAAUGCAGGCCAUCAAGUGUGUGGUGGUGGGUGAUGGAGCCGUGGGCAAGACAUGCCUUCUCAUCAGCUACACCACCAAUGCCUUCCCCGGAGAAUACAUCCCCACUGUGUUUGACAACUACUCAGCCAAUGUGAUGGUGGACAGUAAACCUGUGAACCUGGGGCUGUGGGACACUGCAGGCCAGGAGGACUAUGACCGCCUCCGGCCACUCUCCUACCCACAGACAGACGUGUUCCUCAUCUGCUUCUCGCUAGUCAGCCCGGCCUCCUACGAGAACGUCCGAGCCAAGUGGUUCCCUGAGGUACGGCACCACUGCCCCAGCACCCCCAUCAUCCUGGUGGGUACCAAGCUGGACCUUCGAGAUGACAAGGACACCAUUGAGAAGCUGAAGGAGAAGAAGCUGGCUCCCAUCACCUACCCGCAGGGCCUGGCACUGGCCAAGGAUAUUGGUAUGAUGCUCGAACUCAGAGAAGGGAGCUGGGGGUUGGAGGCUCCUGGACACAGCCUUGUCCCAGCGCUAUGCUGUGUGGUCAAACUCUGUUUUCCAAACCAUUGAACCAGCUGCGUGACCUGGGCUGGUCCCUCAGCCUCUCUGUGCCUGAGGUUCUGUCAAGAAGGUAUAGCAGCAAUGGUGGCUUCUGCCACGUCAGUGUCUAGGUAAAUGACUUGUUUCACGGUACCCAGAGCGUCACUGAAUGAGGGGUUCUGUGUGAGAUGUCACGGCAGCAGCCGGGUGCUCAAAGCAAAGGGUUGAUAAGAACAGUGAAGCAGGGGUGGGAGGCAUAACCUAUGACUGCUUGGAGCACAGGCAACCAAGUCUAGUCAGGCUGUUUCUGAAAGGCUUUCUGGAGGAGAUGUCCCUGCUGAAGACUUCGGGGUGACUCAGUCCUUUGUGCUUGGCCCUCACCUUCCUUUCUUCAGCCAUUCUGACUUUCCUCCAGUCACUCUUUGCCUGCAAGGACCUGGCAGAGGAGGCUUGACCCUUCAAGGUCACCCAGCUGGGGAAGGGUGGUGGCUGAGAUUAAAAGCAUGGAAGAGGGUUGCUGGCUAGGUGAGUGGGGACACCUCGCCCCGCUAAGCUCUCCAUCCCCAGGAGACCUGACUCUGGGUCUAGCCUCUCCUGUGGUGUCCCCCUAAGGCAGAACUACAAGCCUAGGUCUGACCUCCACCCAGCCCUGCACCUCUUCCUCUGCAGGAAUCGGGAGGGAGGGGCUCUUCACAGGAAGAGAAACCGCAGCCUUCUUGUGACUGUCACGGCCACCUCCCUAGGGGCCUCUCUGCUGCUUCACCCAGGGCCUUAGCCUCACAUGUGUCAGGACGUGCCCAGCCUUCGCUUCCUAACCAGCCUGUCCCCAGAGGGGUCUGCAUUGAUUGGGGUAUUGGGGAACAAACCUAGGACUUCUCUCACACUAGACAAGCACUCUACCACUGACUCUCCCACCCCAUUAGAGUCGUCCUCUCACCUCUCAAGGUACAUACAGUUCAUCACAUGGGAGGGAAUGAGAGGGUAGCAGGAAUGUGAGGCAGCUUGUCACAAUCCAGUCCGGGUGCAGAGAAAGAGAGAGAUACGAUAUUUUAAUUUAUUCUUUGAUGAUUUUAUGCAUAGUAAACAAUCUGUCUUGAUUAUAUCCACUCUGAACCCUUCCUCCAGUUUCCCCAGACACCUGACACAUACCCAUCUUCCCUUCAUGUCCUGGGUAUAUGUGUGCUUGUGUGCUUGUGGUGUGUGUGUGUGUGGUGUGUGUGUGUGUGUGUGUGGUGUGUCUGUGGGGGGGUGUUAUGUGUGUGUUGGUGUGUGCAUGAUGGGGGUGUGAUGUGUGUGGGUGUGUAUAUGUGUGUGUGAUAUGUGUAUGUAUAUGUGGUAUGUGAUAUGUGAGGUGUGAUGUAUAUGGUCUGUGUGUGAGAUGUGUGUGUGUGUGUGUGUGGUAUAUGUGUGUGGUGUGUGUGAGAGACAUAUGUGAUGUUUGUGUGUGGUGUGUUUGUGAGAUGUAGUGUGUGUGAGAUGUUUGGUGUGAUGUGUGUGGGGUAUGUGUGUGUGUGUGAGUGUGAGAGAGAGAGAUGUGUGAUGUGUGUGUGUUAGAUGUGGUGUAUGUGAGAGGUGUGUGAUGUGUGUGUGUGUGGUGUAUGUGUGAGAUGUGGUGUGUGUGUGUGUGUGUAUGUGUGUCCCAUUGAGUCCAGUUAGAGUUGCCUGCUGGAGUGUCCACCUAUGGCAGCUUUGACCUUGCACAGGUCUCAUAGCUGCUGUGAAUUCAUGAGUGCAAUGACCAUGUAAUGUCCAGAAGACAUUCCCAGCACUUUGUGGCACCCUGACUUUCUGUUCCAUCUUGCUCAGUGUCCCUUAAGCCUUGGAGUGGGAUGGGAGUGUGUGUGAUGUCAGUGUCCCACUUAGGACAGGGCACUCGGUAAUUACUUAGUUUCCGCACUUAGACCAAUCUGGGUCUCUGCAUUGACUGCUGCCCGCUGCAGAAAAGCUUCUCCUUCUCUGGCUGAGGUUAUCUAUCUCUCCCCCUCGCCUUCCCUCCCCCUGCUCAUCUCACUGUGGAGCCUAAGUUAGCCUCUGAUUUGUGGAAAUUCCCUGCCUCAGCGUUCCUGGUGCUGGAUUUACAGGCCUCAUUCAUCAGCCAUUCUUGGCCACACUUCUUCCUCAUAAAGUGCGUGUUCUCCAGUGACAGGGCCCUGCAAAUGGGGUCCAUUCCUUCCUGCAUCAUCGAUUGCCUGUGAGCUCCUCUGAUCUGGGUCUUAGACUGUGUGUGUGUGUGUGUGUGUGUGUGUGUGUGUGUGUGUGUGUGUGUGUGUGGUAUGUCGGGGGGAGAGAGAGAGAGAGAAAGAAGGGGGGAGGGAGAGAGAGUGUGUGUUCUUCAGCCUGUGACAUUUCUCCCUGAGGCUAU